GACGAACGCUGGCGGCGUGCUUAACACAUGCAAGUCGAACGGUAAGGCCCUUCGGGGUACACGAGUGGCGAACGGGUGAGUAACACGUGGGUGAUCUGCCCUGCACUUCGGGAUAAGCCUGGGAAACUGGGUCUAAUACCGGAUAGGACCACUGCCUGCAUGGGUGGUGGUGGAAGCUUUUGCGGUGUGGGAUGGGCCCGCGGCCUAUCAGCUUGUUGGUGGGGUGAUGGCCUACCAAGGCGACGACGGGUAGCCGGCCUGAGAGGGUGACCGGCCUCACUGGGACUGAGAUACGGCCCAGACUCCUACGGGAGGCAGCAGUGGGGAAUAUUGCACAAUGGGCGCAAGCCUGAUGCAGCGACGCCGCGUGAGGGAUGACGGCCUUCGGGUUGUAAACCUCUUUCAGCACCGACGAAGCGCAAGUGACGGUAGGUGCAGAAGAAGGACCGGCCAACUACGUGCCAGCCGCCGCUGUAA
This 477-nucleotide ribosomal RNA is filed under the name uncultured bacterium. RNAcentral's name for it is "partial 16S ribosomal RNA". It matches the Rfam family "Bacterial small subunit ribosomal RNA", at positions 28 to 523 of the family's 1533-position model. The record is from RNAcentral.